RNAcentral lists this ribosomal RNA (58 nucleotides) under uncultured bacterium. RNAcentral's name for it is "partial 16S ribosomal RNA". The record is from RNAcentral.
GUACCUAAAGGUCGAUAACCGUAAGGAGUCGCCCAAGGUAAAACUAGUAACUGGGGCU